UCGGGAAUAUUGCGCAAUGGAGGAAACUCUGACGCAGUGACGCCGCGUAUAGGAAGAAGGUUUUCGGAUUGUAAACUAUUGUCGUUAGGGAAGAAAAAAGACAGUACCUAAGGAGGAAGCUCCGGCUAACUACGUGCCAGCAGCCGCGGUAAUACGUAGGGAGCAAGCGUUAUCCGGAUUUAUUGGGUGUAAAGGGUGCGUAGACGGGAAUUUAAGUUAGUUGUGAAAUCCCUCGGCUUAACUGAGGAACUGCAACUAAAACUGGAUUUCUUGAGUGCAGGAGAGGAAAGCGGAAUUCCUAGU
RNAcentral lists this ribosomal RNA (303 nucleotides) under uncultured bacterium. Its description in RNAcentral is "bacterial SSU rRNA". It matches the Rfam family "Bacterial small subunit ribosomal RNA", at positions 355 to 674 of the family's 1533-position model. The record is from RNAcentral.